CGGGGUAUAGCUCAAUUGGCAGAGCGCUUCGUUCGGGACGAAGAGGUUCCCAGUUCAAGCCUGGGUACCCCGACCA
RNAcentral lists this transfer RNA (76 nucleotides) under Elusimicrobiota bacterium. RNAcentral describes it as "tRNA-Pro". It matches the Rfam family "tRNA". From Rfam's summary of the family: Transfer RNA (tRNA) molecules are approximately 80 nucleotides in length. Their secondary structure includes four short double-helical elements and three loops (D, anti-codon, and T loops). Lineage: Bacteria; Pseudomonadati; Elusimicrobiota. The record is from RNAcentral.